AGUCUUUGCAACAAAUAUGCAGAGUUGAGAAAAAAACAAUUCUUAUAUUUGCGCAUUUAUGCAUAUUCUGCAUUUUGAGCGCCUCACCAAUUUCAGGAGAUGGCUAGCAUGUCUCAUCAUUGGUUGUCCGGAAUGGGGGUUGGUCAUUGUGUUGCUCCAAGUAGAGUCCUUUUAAUAAGCCCCAGACCUCUCCCUAAAUUGAAGGACUGUCUUCUUAAUAACAGCUUUUUCCAGAGAUGCUCUGUGAGACAUGGAGGGCUACUGUCUCUUGAGAGUUAAAGUGACCAAUCACCCAGAGAACAAAGAGGAGGCAUAUGGCAGCUACAAUCAAUGAAGAAUUAUGCAGGAGAAACAAUGGAAAGGAUGUCACCAGAGAAGUGCCUGAAUGGAACAGAGAGUGGUCUGGUCAUGGAGCAGGAGGAAGGGACAACAACUGGAUAGUCCAUGGGCUCUCCUGGCAUCCUCACAACAUCAAGAGCCCUAAAGGGUCCUAAAUUCAGAGCUGGAAGGAACUUCAGAGGCCAUCUAAACCAACUACCUCAUUGUACAGCUGAGGAAACUGAGGCCCAAGACUUUACUUGAGGUCCAUAAAGAGAACAUUCCUUUGGAGCUACUCCCACCUUAGAACCACAGAAUUUCAGCAUUGAAAGUUACUUCAGUGAAAUUGAAUUCCCAAUGAGCAGUGAUCUAGUGUUUGCUCGAAGAUCCUCAGAGAGGGGGAACCCACUGCCUAAGCAGGCAGCCCAUCCCACUUGGGAAUAGCUCUACCUGGUACAAAGGUUUUCCUGACAUCAAGCCUCAACUUACCUCUUCACAUUUUCAAACUCUGGCUGCUGGUUCUCCAUGUUGAAGCCAAGCAGAACAUGUCUUCCAGAUGACAGCCCUCCAGGUACUUGAAGAUGGCUAAUGUGACCCCCUGAGGUUUCUCUUCUCCAGUCUCCAUAUUCCCAGUUCUUUUAACCUAUGCUCAUAUGGUAUACUCUCAAGUUCCCUCACUAUCCUAAGAUAUCUUUCCCCCAUUGUUCUCCAGCUUACCAACCAAUCAAUCAACAACCUUUUAUUAAGCACCUACUAUGUGCCGGGCACUGUGCUAGGCACCACAAUACAAACAACAAAGCCAUUUCUACUUGCUACGAGCUUCCAUUCCAUCAUUAGAUUCCCUACGUGGCCCCUAGAACUAGACAUACUCCUGCAGGUGUGUUGUGAACAGGCAUACCUCUUCAUCAGCCUACCAGCCUACUAGCUUUUCUUGGACAGCAAAAACAUCUCUGCGAGUGUGAUGACUGCUUUUGUUUUGCCUUUGCAUCUCUGGAGUUUUGCGCAGAAUUUAUUGAACCAGACUUGUGGUUGCAUUGAUGUAAAAGGCUCACGCUGAGAGAUUUCUACCCAGGUAGAUUGGAACCUUUUCUCCAAGGUUCUCAAGAAGCUCUCUUCCAGCCUCAGGGAGAGUGACCCAGGCACUGGGAGAUUAAAUGAUUUGCCUAGACUCUCUUUUAGGAACAGGACAAGAACCUAGAUUUUCCUGCUUUAAGACCAGCUCUCUAUCAACUGAAUCCCAUUGCUUCCUUUGCAUAUAAUAUAGGCUCAAUAAAUAUCCAUUCCUCUGAGGUUACCUUCUAAUUAUGU
Non-coding RNA from Phascolarctos cinereus (koala), 1626 nucleotides. The record is from RefSeq and is a predicted model, not a curated record. Lineage: Eukaryota; Metazoa; Chordata; Mammalia; Diprotodontia; Phascolarctidae.